AUGACUAGGUGGACAAAGGGAAAUGAGAAACAAAAACAAAAUUAAACACUACUAGAAAAAUGGGCAAUUGUGACCAAAUUUGCUACUGAAAAGAAAAUGGUAGCAAAUUUAGUGAUUGAUUUGCCACAAAAUUGCAAAUAGUGUAUUUAGUAUGAUACGGUAGCAAAAUGAUAGGAAAUUUUGCUACCGUUUACUUUAGGUAGCAAAUUUGUGGAAAAUAUCAAAUAAUUUUAAUAAGUAUUAUAAAAAUGUCUCUAAAUCAUCCUAUAUCUUUUAAUUGCGACAAUAUUAGCGGUGGCAACAUGAAAAUUUAAUUAGGCGGGAUAAUUUUUUAAUGGAUCCGCGCAUUUCAAAAAUUGAUUAAUUAGGGUUUUAAUCAAAGAACUCCUCUACCAAGAUUCUAAAUUGCUGCUCCCUUACGUCUGAUUUGAUUGAAGAACUCAGCUUCGUGCAGAACAAACACAAGCAAUUUCACCUUUCAGGUACAGACAGUUCCUUUCCUCUUGGGUUUUGGCCUCCCAAAUUGCAAACCCUUAUCAUAGGGGGUUUGAAGAAGCCCAUGUUGGAAUGGGGACAACAGAAUUUCCCAACCUCACUUGUCUACCUAGGGUUAAGGUGUGGAGAGUCAGAAGAAGAUGAUGUGAGUAGGUGUAGUCAGUUGUCGUAUCUUCUUUCUUCAUCUCUUACUUCUCUUGGGUUAAUUGGAUUUAAGAAACUGAAAUCAGUUUCAGUCCCUCCAACAUCUCUUUUUAGGGUAUUGCCCAAAGAUGAAGCAUCUACCAGAAAAUCUGCUGCCUUCACUUUUGAGUUUAAACAUAGAUGAAUGCCCAAAAUUAGAAGGAAGGUGCAGUAGAAGAGGCUCCUAUUGGUCCCUCAUCUCUUAUAUCCCCUGCAUCAGAAUAAAAACAUAAUUUAUGUUGGUUCGUGUGAUGCAGGCAGCGCAUGUUCUUUGUCGUUUGUUUAAGAAAUCGGAAGAAAAUAUCGAUGCUUUAAAGUAUGAUGAUGCAGAACCAGCGAGUUUAUCUCCUACCGCACAGAAAUCAUCACCUGAUGAUGCAUCGCUGCAUAAUGUGUCAACGAAUGGAACGAAGAUGUGGUUGACCGACACGGCUCAUAAUUUGGCUCAUAGCUCUGCUGAUUCUUUUGAAAAUUGGGUUUCUGAUCCACUCAAAUCCUCUGAAAAGGAACCGGUUGAAAAGAGUUAUCCAGAACUUGGAGCGUAUCUGGAUUCAAGAUUUGCGAAUGAUUUUGGUAGUGAGACUCGGUUAAACUUUCAGGACGGAACAUGUGAACAGGAUGUUUGUCUCUCCGAAUUGUUGUCACUUUUACAAAACGGCAAAGAGUGCUCGAUUAACAAGUCGGCUAGUAAAAUAACAACAACAAUGGGAAGUGAAACACCCGUAUCUACAGGACCCAAUAUCGGUUCACAUUAUAGCGCGGGUAAUGAUCUGGAACAACCAACAAGCAAGACAAAUAUUCAUGCUACUGGCAGUUUUGCAAUUGGUCAACCCGAAUUCAAGUUUCGGUCCCGUGACUCCCGUUCACCUCGAACUGACCGAACUUACCCAAGCUCAGAAGAUGUUAUGGGGAAGGCACUGCUUCUAGAAGACUCUGCCUGCAGGUUAAUUCUCCAUCUCAUGGUGAAGAAACCAGUUCAGCUGAGUCUGAGGUUUGUGACAGCGUUGACGACAUUGAGAUAAGUUUUGAUUGGUCUAAGGAGACCGAUGAAGGAGACGAUCAACGGUCCAGAUCGUAGAUAAAGCAAGAUGGUUUUAGUGGCCGUAUUCAAAUUCAACCAUUGGUUUUGGUGAAGGCGUAUCGUGGUGGUUGUUUCUUGAGGUCCCUGUGGAUUCAGGUUUAUGCCUUGAUGUCUUUUAUGUCGCUUGUAUUCAAUAAGAGCCCAAUCUACUUCAAUUCUAUCCGAGAAGUGUAUGAAGCCUGGGUUAUAUAUAAUUUUCUGUCACUGUACCUCGCAUGGGUCGGUGGUCCAGGUGCCGUUGUUUUAAGUCUUACCGGACGCGUUCUCAAGUCAAACUGGUGUCUGAUGACAUGUUGCUUCCCUCCCAUUCCACUAGAUGGGUAAAUUUAGUUACACUAAAAUGACUUGAUGAUAAUGACCAACAUGUAUCACAAACUUGCCAUCAAAUGUUAUGUGAGCCUCCAUAUCAUGUACGUAUGCUGCAAGAAAGGUGAAAACUUUUUAAGUAUGAAAAACUCAGCAUACAUAUAAAAGUAUCCAUGAAUGAUCUUGUCUAAUAUGUUUAAAGACGCUGUAAUCUCUGAUGUUACUUAAUUUAAAUAAUUAAAUGUAAAUUGAAUCAUAUUAAUAUUUCUAUAUGGUCGUUAGUACAAUGUCAAAUUCUUUGUUUCCUUUGUCUUUAUUUUUUAAGACCGGUGGGUAUGGGGCGUGGGUUGUGGCGUUGAAGGGGGUUUAACGCCGGCUACACCACCCCGGCUCGGUGUUGGGCUUGGCGUUGCCCGCUUGGCGUGGAUAUUCUGCCUGGCGUGGGGCGAGGGGGCUGGGUGACGUGGCGGACUGUGGUUGGCUGGUUCAAAGUAAAGAGUUUUAACAACAAAAAAAAAUUCCACAUGGUUGGCCACGCCCAGCUAAGCGACACCCCACCACACCCCUAGUUUUUUAGUAUUAGCUUGUGGAUCCCAUGCUUGCCAAGUGUCGAGCAAUACCCCCCAACCCAAGCCCCUCCACACCCCAUAGUCUAAGUUAAAGUUAACAUGAAAUUUCGUAAUUGCAGCUAUUGUAAUCUUUUGUGUGUAGCUAGGUCCAGGUAUACAUAUGGUGUCUAUAUGACAUAGCUACAUGAACUUGAUGCGUACUUGAGGAAGCGACAACCUUACUGAAUUAUCAUGUUCAGGUGCUACGAGUGGAGUGGAGCAGAAGUUCAAAAAGGUAUUUAUGCUGCAACAAUGUUUCAUGCCAAGUGGACUACUGGCCAAUGACAUUUAGUAUGCUAACAGACUUUUCAAGAUAAAGGGCUUGCUUUGUUGCUCAUGCUGUCACAUGUUAGAUGAAAGGGUUCAAGGAUGUAUUAUGCUUCUACUUGAGCAAUUGCGAACGCGGGAAGCGAUGUCUCACUAAAUUUUCACGUUUGAGGUGCUACCAAGGAAGCAAAUGUCUAACCAGAUUUUUUUGCAUAGGUAAAUUCUUCGUUAUGAUACCGAUUUCAUGUCUGAGAUUGAAAAGUUGAACUUAGUUAUCAAGGAGCUCGUUAAGGAAACUGAUGAAGAAAAAGAAAGGCUAAAUGGAAUUAUUGUCGGGUUGUUGGUUGAAAAAGAAAAAGAUAAGGUGGAUAAAGAUGCUAUGCUGGAUACGAUGUCACAAAUUGAAGCAAUGUUAACAAGUACAAUUUGAAGAUAAGCGACAAACACUUGGUUUUGAAUGUUUCGAUGUUUAUCGUGUUAGGAUUUUUUAGUUAUUUGAUGUUUUAGCUGGUAUUUCUAUUAGAAUGUUCUAUAUGCUUUUGAUGCACAUAUGUUUUAUAUAAUUUUGGGUUUUCGUGAUCUUA
Helianthus annuus (common sunflower) is the source of this 3524-nucleotide RNA transcript. RefSeq lists it as uncharacterized. Lineage: Eukaryota; Viridiplantae; Streptophyta; Magnoliopsida; Asterales; Asteraceae. The transcript has 12 exons. The record is from RefSeq and is a predicted model, not a curated record.